CCUACGUGCGGCAGCAGUGGGGAAUAUUGCGCAAUGGGCGAAAGCCUGACGCAGCGACGCCGCGUGAGGGAUGAAGGUCUUCGGAUCGUAAACCUCUGUCAGCAGGGAAGAACGGUCACUGUGCUAAUCAGCAGUGAAUUGACGGUACCUGCACAGGAAGCACCGGCUAACUCCGUGCCAGCAGCCGCGGUAAUACGGAGUGUGCGAGCGUUAAUCGGAAUUACUGGGCGUAAAGCGCUCGUAGGCGGUAUGUCAAGUCAAGGGUGAAAUCCCCGGGCUCAACGUGGGAACUGCCUUUGAAACUGGCAAACUGGAGUGUGUGAGAGGAUAGUGGAAUUCCAGGUGUAGGAGUGAAAUCCGUAGAUAUCUGGAGGAACAUCAGUGGCGAAGGCGACUAUCUGGCACAUAACUGACGCUGAGGAGCGAAAGCGUGGGUAGCAAACAGGAUUAGAUACCCCUGUAGUC
RNAcentral lists this ribosomal RNA (465 nucleotides) under uncultured bacterium. RNAcentral describes it as "partial 16S ribosomal RNA". It matches the Rfam family "Bacterial small subunit ribosomal RNA", at positions 338 to 795 of the family's 1533-position model. The record is from RNAcentral.